UGGGUAAGUCAUUUGCCCUCUUUGGACCU
This 29-nucleotide non-coding RNA is filed under the name Mus musculus (house mouse). Lineage: Eukaryota; Metazoa; Chordata; Mammalia; Rodentia; Muridae. The record is from RNAcentral.